RNAcentral lists this ribosomal RNA (220 nucleotides) under Clostridioides difficile. RNAcentral describes it as "partial 23S ribosomal RNA". It matches the Rfam family "Bacterial large subunit ribosomal RNA", at positions 306 to 528 of the family's 2925-position model. Lineage: Bacteria; Bacillati; Bacillota; Clostridia; Peptostreptococcales; Peptostreptococcaceae. The record is from RNAcentral.
AUAUCAUAACGAAGAGGUAUCGUAAUUGAAGAGGUUUGGAAAGACCCACCACAGAAGGUAAUAGUCCUGGAUGUUAAACGAGAAGACUUUAGAUAUGAUCCAGAGUACCACGGGACACGUGAAACCCUGUGGGAAGCAGGAGGGACCACCCUCCAAGGCUAAAUACUACCUAGUGACCGAUAGCGUAUAGUACCGUGAGGGAAAGGUGAAAAGAACCCCG